UAAUGGGAAAUUUAAGAGCAUAUGGUGGAUGCCUUGGCUCUGAGAGACGAUGAAGGACGUGACGUGGCGACGAUACGCUUCGGGAAGGUGCCUCGUGACCGUUGAUCCGAAGAUGUCCGAAUGGGGAAACCCUCUCAUUUUUUAAUGAGAAUCUUCAUACUAGAUAUGAAGAAGUUAACCUGGGGAAGUAAAACAUUUCAGUACCCAGUGGAAAAUAAACUAAAUAAAGUAUUCCGUAAGUAGCGGCGAGCGAAAGCGGAGAAGCCCAAACUCGUCUUUAAUCGUAAGGUGCAAUUCAUUGUGCCGUGCGAUUAAAGACGGGGGUUGUAAGAUGAAAACGUGCCAUUUAUGGCAGAAAAGUUAAAAAAUAUAUUGAUAAUUGAAGUAGUUGGAAAGCUACGCCCUAGAAGGUAAUGGCCCUGUAAAUGAAAUCAAUGUAUCUUUUUUGUUUUUAUUCUUGAGUACCUCAAGACACGAAUAGCUUGAGGGAAUCUAGCGGAACUAACCGCUAAGGCUAAAUACUCUUGGAGACCGAUAGUGAACUAGUACCGUGAGGGAAAGGUGAAAAGUAGCCCGGUAAGGGCAGUGAAAUAGACCUGAAACCAUAUGCUUACAAGGAGUCGGAGCGGUUUACACAAUGAACGCGAUUUUGUGUAUCGUAUUUAUUGUGUAGACCGUCACGGCGUGCCUAUUGAAGAAUGAGCCAACGAGUGGAUGCGUGCUGCAGGCUAAGCCCUUGACUGGGUGGAGCCAUAGGGAAACCGAGUGUGAACAGCGCGUUCGUAGUACGCAUCAGACCCGAAGCCAGGUGAGCUUGUCGCGAGCAGGAUGAACAUCGGAGAAAUCCGAUGGGAGGUCCGAACGGUAGAGUUGUGCAAUGCUCUCCGAUGACUUGCGAUAAGGAGUGAAAAGCUAAUCGAACCUGGUAAUAGCUGGUUUUCUCCGAAAUAGCUUUAGGGCUAGCGUUAGAUUUACCCUCGAGGGGUAGAGCACUGGAAGGUUCUGACAGGGCGAAAGCUCACAGAACCUAUCAAACUCCGAAUACUCGAGAUUAACUAUCUAGCAGUUAGACGGUGGGGGCUAAGCUCCAUGCGUCAAAAAGGGAAGAGCCUAGAUCUCAAUUUAAGGUCCCUAAAUUUACACUAAGUGCGCUUAAGGUGGUAAGAUUUUUCAAACAAUGAGGAUGUUGGCUUAGAAGCAGCCAUCAUUUAAAGAAAGCGUAACAGCUCACUCAUCGAGAGAUUUUGCGCCGCAGAUAAUCGGGGCUAAGUGUAAUACCGAAACUGAGGGUUUAUAGAUAUUUCGAUAUAUAUAAGCGGUAGGAGAAUUUUCUACUCUGCGUUGAAGGUAAAGGGGUGACCCAUACUGGAGCGUGUAGAAGUAAGAAUGUUGGCACAAGUAACCACAAUGCGGGUGAGAUACCCGCACGCCGAAAGACCAAGGUUUCCUUCGCGAUGAAGAUCAGCGAAGGGUUAGUCGGGCCUAAGUGUAUGACAAAAGUCGCACACGACGGACACACGGUUAAUAUUCCGUGACUUUUAUGUAAAAUGAUGGGAGGACGGAGUGCUGUAUUUAUAGCUCAUAAUUGGAUUUGAGUUUGUGCCAUGAAGGUGUACCCCAGGUAAAUCCGGGGGCUGGUUUAAAUACCGAAUCUAAGUGGAGCAGAAAUCUCGGGGUACGCCCCGAGGGAUUAUAAAAAGCGCGCUCUCGAGAAAAUUCCCUAAGUUUAUUUAUAUAAAAACCGUACCGCAAACCGACACAGGUGGUCAGUUCGAGUAGAACAAGGCGAACGAGUGAGAGGUCUCCAAGGAACUCGGCAAAAAAGCAGCCGUAACUUCGGGAUAAGGCUUGCCUCUAGCAAUAGAGGCCGCAGCUAAAGUAUGCUUGGCAACUGUUUAUCAAAAACACAGCUCCCUGCGAACUCGAAAGAGGAUGUAUAGGGGGUGACACUUGACCAAUGCCAGAAGGUCAACCAUUGACGUUCUUAUCCGUAAGGGUAAGGGUGAUCGAUGUAAGCCCUGGUGAAUGUCGGCGAUAACUAUAAUCGUCCUAAGGUUUACCACGUUUUUCAUAUAAUGUCAAGCGUGGUGAAGGACUAGGACGAUUACAGAUAACGAUUUUGAUAAACUAAAUAGUGAACUAGACAACGCAGUGUGAAGAUUAAGACGCUGCCUAUCUAUGAGAUAUGGAUGUCCUUAAAAACAUCUGACCAUAUGCUGGAAAAUCCGGUGUAUCUGACAGUACUUUUUGCAAAAAAAGUAAUAAUCUGCUCAGUGCGGACAAUCAGCAGGAAAGAUUUCUUGUAUUUUUACAAGAAAAAUCCUCAGAAACCAAAAGUCAGACUAGUUAGUAAAUAACUAGAAGUUAGAGUUCGUACUGCAUAGCGAUAUGAAGACUAACAAAAUAUAGCGCAAUUCCUUGUCGGGUAAGUUCCGACGCGUUGAAUAGUGCAAUGCCUGAGCAACUGUCUCGGAGACUCGCUCGGUGAAAAUACAGUACCGGUGAAGAUGCCGGUUACCUGCAGUUAGACGAAAAGACCCUAGAAGCUUUACUGUAGUUUUAUAUUGCUCAUAUGUUUUUUCUGCGUAGCGUAGAUGGGAGGAUUUGAAGUUUACCUUUCGGGGUAAGUGGAUCCGUCAGUGAAAUACCAUUCUGAAGAAAUAUAUGUUCUAACCUUUGCCGAAAAACGGCAGAGAGACAGUAUAUGAUGGGCAGUUUUAGUGGGGCGCUACCCUUAACGAAGCGCACCCGUUUUAAGCCGGAUUUCCGUUCUGGUCAAAUAAUAAAUUAGGGGGGCAUUAUUUCACAAAAAAUAAUGAAAAAUUAGCUAUAUGCUGGAACAUCUGUGCCUUUAACGGCUUAGAGUAUGCAUUACCAAAGUGUAAAAAUAUGCAUAUGCAGACAAUCAGCAGGAAAGGUUUGCUCACUCUUUAUCUUAUAAAGAGUGAGCAAAAAUCCUCAGAGACUACACGCUAAUCUCCACAAAAGGUGGAUGAUGAUAUAGUCCGAUCUCAUGGGCGACCAUGAGAGCACAACAGAAAUGUGUGUGCCAUGAUUUCAGUUUUUUGCCUUAGAAAAGCAUAAGUCUGAAUGAUAUGUAACAUAAGCCUAAAAAGUAACGGAGGGGUUUAAAGGUCAGCUAGGCGCGAAUGGACACCGUGCCGAUAGUGUAUAGGCAUAAGCUGGCUUGACUGAAAGACGUACAUGUCGAUCAGACGCGAAAGCGGGACUAAGUGAACCGAUCACUCGCAUUAGAUGCGGUGAAAGAUUAACGGAUAUAAGCUACUCUAGGGAUAACAGGCUAGUUGCGCCUAAGCGUUCAUAGCGACGGCGCAGUUCGGCACCUCGAUAAACACCGAAUGUCGAGGUUAAUAAAUCAGCUCAUAACGGAGAAAGCCAUAAUCGCGGAGGUGUAUCUGAAAUGAUAUACUUUGAUCUAUGGUC
RNAcentral lists this ribosomal RNA (3444 nucleotides) under bacterium. RNAcentral's name for it is "23S ribosomal RNA". It matches the Rfam family "Bacterial large subunit ribosomal RNA". The record is from RNAcentral.